CAGCAGCCGCGGUAAUACGAAGGGGGCUAGCGUUAUCCGGAUUUAUUGGGUUUAAAGGGUGCGUAGGUGGCCUGUUAAGUCAGGGGUGAAAGACGGUAGCUUAACUAUCGCAGUGCCCUUGAUACUGAUGGGCUUGAAUAAACUAGAGGUAGGCGGAAUGUGACAAGUAGCGGUGAAAUGCAUAGAUAUGUCACAGAACACCAAUUGCGAAGGCAGCUUACUAUGGUUUUAUUGACACUGAGGCACGAAAGCGUGGGGAUCAAACAGGAUUAGAUACCCGCGUAGUCCCUGUCUCUUAUAC
This 301-nucleotide ribosomal RNA is filed under the name uncultured bacterium. RNAcentral describes it as "partial 16S ribosomal RNA". It matches the Rfam family "Bacterial small subunit ribosomal RNA", at positions 509 to 807 of the family's 1533-position model. The record is from RNAcentral.